This 1042-nucleotide ribosomal RNA is filed under the name Fuscidea intercincta. Its description in RNAcentral is "eukaryotic LSU rRNA". It matches the Rfam family "Eukaryotic large subunit ribosomal RNA", at positions 1 to 1066 of the family's 3401-position model. Lineage: Eukaryota; Fungi; Ascomycota; Lecanoromycetes; Umbilicariales; Fuscideaceae. The record is from RNAcentral.
AGACCUCGGAUCAGGUAGGGAUACCCGCUGAACUUAAGCAUAUCAAUAAGCGGAGGAAAAGAAACCAACAGGGAUUGCCUCAGUAACGGCGAGUGAAGCGGCAGCAGCUCAAAUUUGAAAUCUGGCUCCGGGGCCCGAGUUGUAAUUUGUAGAGGAUGCUCCAGGCGAUGUGCCGGUCUAAGUUCCUUGGAACAGGAUGUCAUGGAGGGUGAGAAUCCCGUAUGUGACUGGUGACCUAGCCUGUGUGGAGCUCCUUCGACGAGUCGAGUUGUUUGGGAAUGCAGCUCUAAAUGGGUGGUAAAUUUCAUCUAAAGCUAAACAUUGGCCAGAGACCGAUAGCGCACAAGUAGAGUGAUCGAAAGAUGAAAAGCACUUUGAAAAGAGAGUUAAAAAGUACGUGAAAUUGUUGAAAGGGAAGCGCCGGCGACCAGACUUGGUCCUGGGCGAUCAGCCGUUAUUCUUAGCGGUGUACUCACCCAGGGACAGGCCAGCAUCGGUCCAGAUGGCUGGACAAAUCUCACAGGAAUGUAGCUCUCUCUGGGGAGUGUUAUAGCCUGGGGGGUCAUGCAGCCCAUCAGGACCGAGGAUUAUGCUUUGGCUUGGAUGCUGGCGUAAUGGUCGUCGGCGGCCCGUCUUGAAACACGGACCAAGGAGUCUAACAUCUAUGCGAGUGUUUGGGCCUCAAACCCACACGCGGAAUGAAAGUGAACGGAGGUGGGAACCCACCUGGGUGCACCAUCGACCGAUCCAAAUGUCUUCGGAUGGAUUUGAGUAAGAGCAUAGCCGUUGGGACCCGAAAGGUAGUGAACUAUGCCUGAAUAGGGUGAAGCCAGAGGAAACUCUGGUGGAGGCUCGCAGCGGUUCUGACGUGCAAAUCGAUCGUCAAAUUUGGGCAUAGGGGCGAAAGACUAAUCGAACUAUCUAGUAGCUGGUUCACGUCGAAGUUUCCCUCAGGAUAGCAGUAACGUUUUCAGUUUUAUGAGGUAAAGCGAAUGAUUAGAGGCCUUGGGGCUGAAACAGCCUUAACCUAUUCUCAAACUUU